Molecule: ribosomal RNA, 160 nt
Filed under: uncultured bacterium
Lineage: Bacteria
Description: partial 16S ribosomal RNA
Rfam family: Bacterial small subunit ribosomal RNA
Source: RNAcentral
UGAGGAAUAUUGGUCAAUGGGCGAGAGCCUGAACCAUCCAAGUAGCGUGCAGGAUGACGGCCCUAUGGGUUGUAUAACUGCUUUUAUGCGGGAAUAAAGUGCCGGACGUGUGCCAGUGUAUGUAUCGUACUAGUAUGAAUAAGGACCGGCUAAUUCCGUG